RNAcentral lists this ribosomal RNA (506 nucleotides) under uncultured bacterium. RNAcentral describes it as "partial 16S ribosomal RNA". It matches the Rfam family "Bacterial small subunit ribosomal RNA", at positions 29 to 523 of the family's 1533-position model. The record is from RNAcentral.
AGUGAACGCUGGCGGUAGGCCUAACACAUGCAAGUCGAACGGCAGCACAGAGGAGCUUGCUCCUUGGGGGGCGAGUGGCGGACGGGGGAGGAAUACAUCGGAAUCUACUCUGCCGUGGGGGAUAACGUAGGGAAACUUACGCUAAUACCGCAUACGACCUACGGGUGAAAGCAGGGGAUCUUCGGAACUUGCGCGGAUGAAUGACGCGAGUUCGGAUUAGCUAGGUGGCGGGGUAAAGGCCCACCAAGGCGACGAUCCGUAGCUGGUCUGUGAGGAUGAUCAGCCACACUGGAACUGAGACACGGUCCAGACUCCUACGGGAGGCAGCAGUGGGGAAUAUUGGACAAUGGGCGCAAGCCUGAUCCAGCCAUACCGCGUGGGUGAAGAAGGCCUUCGGGUUGUAAAGCCCUUUUGUUGGGAAAGAAAUCCAUCUGGUUAAUACCCGGGUGGGAUGACGGUACCCAAAGAAUAAGCACCGGCUAACUUCGUGCCAGCCGCCGCCGUAA